UACGUAGGGGGCAAGCGUUGUCCGGAUUUAUUUGGCGUAAAGAGCGUGUAGGCGGCCAUGUAGGUCCGUUGUGAAAACUCGAGGCUCAACCUCGAGACGCCGAUGGAAACCAUGUGGCUAGAGUCCGGAAGAGGAGAGUGGAAUUCCUGGUGUAGCGGUGAAAUGCGCAGAUAUCAGGAAGAACACCCGUGGCUAAGGCGGCUCUCUGGAACGGUACUGACGCUGAGACGCGAAAGCGUGGGGAGCGAACAGG
RNAcentral lists this ribosomal RNA (253 nucleotides) under uncultured bacterium. RNAcentral describes it as "partial 16S ribosomal RNA". It matches the Rfam family "Bacterial small subunit ribosomal RNA", at positions 524 to 776 of the family's 1533-position model. The record is from RNAcentral.